CCUUUUUUUUUUUUUUUUCCAGGCAGAACAACUCCUGGCAAGAGCUGUCAGUGUAUGACUUAACUUUAUGCCUGGUGGGAACCCAACUUGCAUAGAACAAAGUCCAUUAAGUGUGCAAUUGCAUGUUGACCUCUACUUGCUAUUCAUUGUAUCUUUAGGAUUUUAAUAAUGGUCUGCUCUUAAGGAUGAGUUGGAGUUAUUUGUCCCUUGCUCCCUCAUAAAUGCUGUUGCAGUAACAGAUUACCAGGAUUUUUUCCUCAUGUUGGAGAGCUACUUAGAUUCAAGUAUUUUAGGGAAGCUCUGAGUUUACUAAAGAACACAUAUGCAAAUGAACACUGGGAAGAAGGGAAUGAUAACAGUCUGGAGCCGUGUCUUCAACACUGUGAUUGACAGACUCAACAGGCACAUCUGGUGCAGGUAUGCUCUCACAGUGGAACAAACUGAGUGUGAACCCGCCUUUUGCCCACAUGGUGAAGGUGGUGGUGCACACCUCUUCUCGUGCUGCCUGGAGUGGACAGCGGAGGAAGAGCCAAGACUCCAGGUGAUCUGGACGUAA
RNAcentral lists this long non-coding RNA (556 nucleotides) under Anser brachyrhynchus (Pink-footed goose). RNAcentral's name for it is "lncRNA (ENSABRG00000008203.1)". The record is from RNAcentral. Lineage: Eukaryota; Metazoa; Chordata; Aves; Anseriformes; Anatidae.